UCCCUUGUAGCUCAGUUGGUAAAGAAUCUGCCUGCAACGCAGGAGACCUGGGUUCGAUCCCUGGGUCGGGAA
This 72-nucleotide transfer RNA is filed under the name Bos taurus (domestic cattle). It matches the Rfam family "tRNA". From Rfam's summary of the family: Transfer RNA (tRNA) molecules are approximately 80 nucleotides in length. Their secondary structure includes four short double-helical elements and three loops (D, anti-codon, and T loops). The record is from Rfam by way of RNAcentral. Lineage: Eukaryota; Metazoa; Chordata; Mammalia; Artiodactyla; Bovidae. RNAcentral also lists the same sequence under 4 other names.